This 253-nucleotide ribosomal RNA is filed under the name uncultured bacterium. RNAcentral's name for it is "partial 16S ribosomal RNA". It matches the Rfam family "Bacterial small subunit ribosomal RNA", at positions 524 to 776 of the family's 1533-position model. The record is from RNAcentral.
UACGUAGGGUGCGAGCGUUAAUCGGAAUUACUGGGCGUAAAGCGUGCGCAGGCGGCUAUCUAAGUCGGAUGUGAAAUCCCUCGGCUUAACCAAGGAAGUGCACCCGAAACUGGAUAGCUUGAGUACAGAAGAGGAUCGCGGAAUUCCCGGUGUAGAGGUGAAAUUCGUAGAUAUCGGGAGGAACACCAGUGGCGAAGGCGGCGAUCUGGGCUGAUACUGACGCUGAGGUGCGAAAGCGUGGGGAGCAAACAGG